CUGUUCACACGUACAGUAUCAAAAUCAAUUUCCAAAACUAACCUAAACUGUUCACAGGUACAGUAUCGAAAUCAUCCACCCUCACCAAAUCGAAAUCAAUUUCCUGAACCUAAUCAAUUUCCAAAUCGAAAUCAUCUACCAUCACCAAAUCGAAAUCAAUUUCUUGAACCUAAUCAAUUUCGAUUAGGAAAUCAUUCACCAAAACCAUAUCGAAAUCAAAUUCUAUUCACCUUCAAGUCAUGGAUUUCUAUUCACCUUCGAUCUUAAUCACUAUAAACCCCCCCCCCCCCCCCCCUACAACUUAUCACCUCCAACAAAAAAUUGGAAGAAGGCAGGUUGUUCAUCUAUAUAUCCGACGAACACUACAUCAGGUAAUUUUUAUUUAAUAUUUAAUAUUUUUUUAUAGUUUAAUGUAUUUUAAUUUUUUAUAGUUCUUCCAUUGUUCAUCUAUAUAUCAUGUAUUUCAAUAUUUAUUCAGUAUUUAGUUGAGAUUAUUUUUGUUCAUUGACAAAUAAUUUUGAUUCAAAUGAGUGUUUUAAUCUUACAAUUGAUUUGAAUUUAUUAGGAAAAUAAUUACAAUAAAGAAGCUGAACAAGUAACAAUGAUAAUGGAUGAAGAGAGAAGAGUUCAUCAUGACUGUAUCAAUGCAUCGAAUCCAUAUCAUGAAUGUAAUGAAUACUGUUUUCAAAGGAAUGCCGAAGUUAUGAAACGUAAACAACAACCAUUACAACAGCAACAACAUAAGCUAUCAGGUAACUUUCAUGUUUCGUAUGUUAUAUGUUUACUCCUUCAGCAGUUCAGCAUUCUCUUUUAUAUAUAUUUUUUUGGUGGUGUGUGUGUGUUGGGGGGGGGGGGGUUCUCUUUUGUAUAGUAUUAAGUUUUAACAAAGACAAGUCUAAUACAAACAGGCAGCGGCAACAGUAGAAACCUUCAAAACAGCUCUUACAGCUUAGACUAUUAUAGGUCAUAAUACAACGAAAAACAUCAAACAAGGUUUUCUUAAUUAAACAGAAGCAAGAGGGUGGUGGACUGGUGGUGUGUAGGAUAAGAGAAGAAGAAAGGUGUAUGUUAGUAGUGUGUGUGUGUGUAUGACCUGGUGCGCAUAUUCAAUAUUGAAAGUGAGUUUUUAGUGGAAAUAUUAUAUCCUAAAGCUUAUCCAAUCAAAUCUCAUUUGCUACAUAGGUGAUUGAAUUUGUGUUUUUGAUAAAUCGAUCGAAACCACUGAGAUCACAAUUAACAUAAUUGAGUAACUCUGUGAACUAUAUCAAUUUAAAACAUCUGAGAUCACGAUUAAAAUAAUUGAUAUUGAACUUUCAGAUUUUACGACACAUCGAGAAGAAGACAACAAGAAAAAGAUAAAAGCAGUAGCAGCGAGUGAAGAACAUAUAUGCUUCACCCAAAAAUAUGGUACAUGCAUCUUACAAAUGCAUGUAAACAUGGCGAGAUGUAUGACAAAUUAUUUUCCUAAUCAGAUGGACUCAAAGUAUUUGAAGGAUUUCAUGAAGUACGUUAAAGAACCAAAGAGUUGUGGAAUUCAAUAUUAUCUGCCAAGUGCCAAAGAAGAUACAGAAAUGGAGCAAAUUGAUGAUGAUCUUAUAGCAUAUGGUAAUGAUUAUCCGAACUACAAAGACAGAAAACCAAAAGGAAUCAUACUCAAUCAUAUCGACGCACUAUUUAAUCGAAAGUAUUUGAAGGAUUUGAUGAAAUACAUUAAAGAUGGACCGAAGUAUCUUGGAGUUCAAGAUUAUCUGCCAAGUGCCAAAGAAGAUACAAAAAUGGAGCAAAUUGAUGAUUAGUAAAUCUCUGCAAGCUUUAUCGGUUAGACUAUAAAUGUUAUAUUCUUCAUUGAAAUAGAUAUCACAUUAUGUACUCUGUCACUUUUAUUUUUAUUUGAAUUAACUUAUUUAUAUUCAUUAUACACAUGGUCUUUUUUGUAGUUAUUUUUUUUAUUGAAGCCUUAUUUAAAAAAUAAUUUCACA
RNAcentral lists this long non-coding RNA (1979 nucleotides) under Aquilegia coerulea. Its description in RNAcentral is "long non-coding RNA (ACOE_LNC000022)". The record is from RNAcentral. Lineage: Eukaryota; Viridiplantae; Streptophyta; Magnoliopsida; Ranunculales; Ranunculaceae.